RNAcentral lists this transfer RNA (25 nucleotides) under Parahucho perryi (Japanese huchen). Its description in RNAcentral is "partial tRNA-Phe". The record is from RNAcentral. Lineage: Eukaryota; Metazoa; Chordata; Actinopteri; Salmoniformes; Salmonidae.
GCUAGCGUAGCUUAAUUAAAGCAUA